AUAGGUGUUAGGUCCGCGGGUGAUCCGUACUCCGAGAGACUAGAUGUGUCGAGAGACAUUGGAUUGGCUGGGACAGAUAGACUCCGCCAAGAACCCGGAGAUUGACAGACAGUCAUACAGAACCUAUGACCUGGGAUUGGCCGACAGGCUGACGAGUGUGCGUUGCAAACGUUUCGGAUCUUGAACCCGGCUAGUCUUAAAGCCCUUCUGCGUGUCUGUCAGCAUCGAUUCUCAGAGUGACACGCUUGUGAUGAGCAUCCGCAUUGACUCAUGUUGUUACUCUAGCGGUGUCUUACAGUCUCUAAGACUAGUGAUUACCAUCAGUUCGAUGAUACAUGAAUGCAGUCUCAUAGCUAGCCUGUGACUAUAAACGCUUAUCGGCAUGUCCGAGCGCACGAAGCCACUUCUGUCAGAGCAAUGAGAGGUGCAGUGAAGCCAUAGCCACCGAAUAUACUACGCACAUCUACGCAAUAACGUCCUUUUAUCUGUAAACAGCAUUAGUGUGGACCUCUAGACGGAAAACAGGGUACAGGAAGGUUGGAACAGCGGCGAGGGACCUGCAGAAUUGAUGCGCCGGGGAUGUGCGGCCUUUCCUGCGAAAGCCAUCAGGGAGCCGUCUUAGGUGGCGACAUGAUAUUAAUCCGACGAGUUCCACUUACGGCGCAGCCAUCGUGUGUACAUAGCCACUUUCUGUGUUUUCGAGAGACUCGGGCACAUGGCCGUUUCCCCAUCUCCCCUCCCCUUUUCCACUCCACCACACCUUAACUCGCACAUCCACCGUGACGGCGCCAACACAAGCACCAGCUGUUCUCUGUCCCAUUGGGUUUUACAUACUCUUGUGUGUGAUCAGUGCUUGGGUUCUCACACGCAUACAUCAUGGACCUCUGUCACAACCGCUACAGGCCCUCCUGUGCAUGGAAUAUCACUCGCCUCAACAAGACCUCGUACACGAGCUGCAGUGGCAGUAGCAGCAGGAUAGGGUGGUAUUAUCCGUAUUCGCUUCCUGGGGGCUGUUGUGGGAACGAUUCAGAUGAGGCGCACUCUCGGAAGGUGGGGCCGACGUCCAGCCGGAAAUGGAGGUAAGAUGGAAGGAAGGGUUGGGGCUCUUAUGAGCUUUAUGUGGGGCGACAAAAAGCUGUCGUACUCCGAUAGGGAUAUCGUAGUACGGCAAGUGUUUUUAUGUAUGCAGGUGGUGGUGGGGCACGUCUGUGCCAGGGUUUUUUUUUGUGGAUUCGUUACCCGUUCCCCUCUUUGUUGUUCCUGAUGCUAUGGAUGUUGGCUGGGGCUGGUUGGGGGAGGGGGGCGGGUAUGUUUCGCCGCCGUCAUUGCCGUGCCUGCCCUAAUUGUCAUGCUCCCAUACACGUGCUGCAGGUGCAGCAGGCCUCGGAAGAUGGGGCCGACGCCCAGGCGGGAAUGGUUUCUUCGCUUUCCUUAUAGCAAGAUGCUAUGUCAGCUCAGUGUUCAU
RNAcentral lists this long non-coding RNA (1465 nucleotides) under Volvox carteri. Its description in RNAcentral is "long non-coding RNA (VCAR_LNC001147)". The record is from RNAcentral. Lineage: Eukaryota; Viridiplantae; Chlorophyta; Chlorophyceae; Chlamydomonadales; Volvocaceae.